AAACACUGACUCCGUCUUCUUCAUCCUCCCAGCUCUGACUGCUUGCCUCUGCAGUCUUUGCAGGAGUCAGAGGACGGAGCUGCAGAGCCUCUGAGGCCAGAAUUAGGCCCAAUCGGGGAGGAUGCAGACAGGCACAUCAGGACCCCAUACAAAGGAAAACGUCCUAAGGGCCACAGGAAUAGGCUGCUUUAAUUGGAUACUGAGCGCCCGGUCACCACUGGAGUUCACACAAAGGCUGGAGAACGACCUGACUGAAGCAGCGGACGAAUCCUCGCCCUGGGUGACAGGAAUCCAACACCAUGUCUGAAACAUCACCAUAGAACAAGAUGGAUGGAUGUUUUCAUCACAACUAUGGAUGUUAGACCUAGAAGAAAUGCCACCCAACCUCCUCAGUUUUGUAUUUAUUUGACUGAUAAAAGAAAAACUUCAGCUGAAUUAAAUUUAAAGAAGUUUAAUUGAGCAAUGAACGAUUCGUGAAUCAAGCAGCUUUCCCAGCCGGAGUAGGCUCAGAGACUCCAGCACAGCCACAUGGGAGAAGAUUUAUGGACAGAAAAAGGAAAGUGAGGCACAGAAGCAGCUGGAUUGGUUACAGGUUGGCAUUUGCCUUAUUUCAACAUGUUCAAACAAUUGGCUACAUUUGGCCAAAAGUCAAUGAUUGGCACAAGUGUAGGCUAUGGUCUGU
Molecule: long non-coding RNA, 682 nt
Organism: Symphalangus syndactylus (siamang)
Lineage: Eukaryota; Metazoa; Chordata; Mammalia; Primates; Hylobatidae
Source: RefSeq, a predicted model, not a curated record